This is a long non-coding RNA of Panthera uncia (snow leopard), 212 nucleotides long. RefSeq lists it as uncharacterized. Lineage: Eukaryota; Metazoa; Chordata; Mammalia; Carnivora; Felidae. The record is from RefSeq and is a predicted model, not a curated record. The transcript has 2 exons.
CUGAACUGCAAAUUCAGAACAGAAAGAAAAUAAAUUGUCAUUAUAAUCGUCAUUAUAUGUGCAUUUACCAUUUGAAGACAUCGUGGUAUCGAGUGGAUGACUGAUGCCACACGAUUCAUCAGAUGAAUCCAGGAGAUCAAGAUGCUAUUAAGAAAAAGUGGCAGUAAUGUAAGCUCUGAGGAGUUAGAAGUAAAAAAAAAAAAAAAAAAAAU